This 385-nucleotide long non-coding RNA is filed under the name Prunus persica (peach). RNAcentral describes it as "long non-coding RNA (PPER_LNC005871)". Lineage: Eukaryota; Viridiplantae; Streptophyta; Magnoliopsida; Rosales; Rosaceae. The record is from RNAcentral.
AAUAACAUGGUCAGUACCCGGAGCACAUAUUUAUUUGCCCCGAUCUUCUCCUUUCCAGGUGCUACCCCCAACAGUUAGGGACAUACGCGAGCCGGCGGAGGUCUUUGGCUUUAGCACAGUGAAGAAGUAGAGGUCGUUGCACUUCUUCAAUCAUUUUGUCUUCUUGCUUUGAAGUGAUCCCAUAUCUUUUGAGGUUCGUCACUAUAUAGAUUGAAAUAAAAAACGACGUGGUUUUCCCUGGGUAAAUCCUCACCGUUCAUCUUAGGGCAAAGGUAGUAGAGAAGGAGUUCUUCUUUCAAGGGGCAAAAAUGGUAACCCAGAGGCACACGAUCAUAAGUGUGGGAGCUCUAAGAUUCGUCGUCUUCUUCACUUCUCUUUGUCCCCG